CAAUGCGAAACACGCAACUAUUCUCUCUCUCUACAAAUCUCUAAAACCACUGGACAAUGCUAAAAAGAAAAAAAGUGAGUAAAGUUACUCGCGCCAAAUCCCAAAUCUAGAUCUUCAGUAAUUACGACAAUGUGGAGAAAAUUCAUGUUGGGGUGACAUCAUUAAUUCUGUGUUUCGUUUAAAGGUUGAGUCAAAUUCCGUGAUGCUGUUUUGAAAUCUCCUGGAAAUCGAGAUAGUUCGAAAUGGCGUUGGGGCGGCGAGACAAGAAUUUGCAGUCAUCAAUGCGUGGAUCACGGAUUAUGGCAGCGAUUGGAAUUGGAAUAGCCGUCGGAUGCGUGUUCGCGUUUUUGUUUCCCCGUGGAUUCUUCUCCACAAAUCAGCCCAUUCAAGUCCGCCGUGUUUCCGAUUCUAAUUCGGAGGUUGAUGCGGCAUCUUGUGAAUCGUCUGAAAAAAUAGAUCUUCUCAAGUCAGAUAUUAGGAGGUUAUCCGAUAAGAAUGCCGAGUUGAAGAGGCAAGUGAGGGAGCUGAAUGAAAAGAUGCGGUUGGCUGAGCAGGGGAACCAACAUGCGCACGAACAAGUUGUGGGACUUAGUAAACCACAUAAGGCUGGACCCUUUGGUACUGUUAAGAGUCUAAGGACAAAUCCAACUGUUGUUCCUGAUGAAACUGUCAACCCUAGACUUGCAAAGAUCUUGGCUGAGAUUGCUGUUAGGAAAGAGAUUAUAGUUGCUCUUGCCAAUUCAAAUGUCAAAGCAAUGCUUGAACUUUGGUUUACAAACAUUAAGAAAGCCGGGAUUCCUAAUUACCUAGUGGUAGCUUUAGAUGAUGAGAUUCUAGAGUUCUGCAAGGCAAAUGACGUCCCUGUGUAUCAGAGGGACCGAGAUGAAUCUGUGGAUGCUAUUGGAAAGGGUGGCGGUAAUCAUGCUGUAUCAGGUCUGAAAUUUCGAAUACUGAGGGAAUUUCUGCAGCUGGGCUAUAGUGUUCUUCUUUCAGAUGUAGAUAUAAUAUUCAUGCAGAAUCCGUUCGAUCAUUUGCAUAGAGAUUCUGAUGUGGAGUCUAUGUCAGAUGGUCACAAUAAUAUGACUGCUUAUGGGUUCGAUGAUGUUUUUGAUGAGCCUGCUAUGGGUUGGGCUCGAUAUGCUCACACAAUGAGGAUAUGGGUCUAUAAUUCCGGUUUCUUUUAUAUAAGGCCCACUGUUCCUUCUAUUGAGCUGCUAGAUCGCGUGGCUGGCAGGCUUGCUCGGGAAAAUGCUUGGGAUCAAGCUGUUUUCAACGAAGAGCUCUUCUUCCCAACUCAUCCUGGUUAUACUGGGCUUCAUGCUUCCAAGAGAACUAUGGAUUUCUAUCUUUUUAUGAACAGCAAGGUCCUUUUCAAAACCGUGAGGAAAGAUGCUACUCUGAAAAAAAUCAAGCCUGUUAUCGUUCACGUUAAUUACCAUCCUGAUAAAUAUCCAAGAAUGCAAGCUGUUAUAGAUUUCUACUUGAAUGGCAAACAAGAUGCUCUGGACCCAUUUCCUGAUGGAUCUCAGUGAAGAGUUGAAGUCAUGAAGUUUGUUUUGCCAAAUGUCAUUUGGAACAUCUCAUUUUCCUUCCAAACUCUGUUUUCUUAUGGCUUCACGAGUUCGCGAAGAGUUCUUUGGAGUCGAAGGAGAAGCAGCAAUGUUGUCCUGGGUUUGAAAGAAGAUGUAAAUAUGGGAGCUAUCUUCAACCCCACAAUCUUUGAGGGAAGCUUCGUCUUUAUCCAACAAGUAAUGCUCCUCAGCAUCGAGCAGCAGAAUGAGGCUAUCCCCAGGUAGGUUUUCUUGUUUCCCAAUUGCUUUCUUGAGGUCGCCUACAGUGGCAUUCUCUCCCACCUCAACGUAGAAGAGAUUCCCGGUUAGUAUCUCUGCAACCAGCUUCAUUUUCAAUGGACCAGAUUUUCACUUUUCCUGUGCCUGUCCCAUUUUCUUGGACUCCAUUACUAUAAUUAAAGUGGUUGUUGGUGCAAAUGGGGUUGUCUCUGCAUUUGCAUAUUGUGGGGUGUUGUUUGUUCACAGAGACUGCAUUGUCGAGAAGUAGUUUGAUAGCAUGCUUGGAUCAUUAGUAGUUUGAUAGCAUUCUAUAAAUAUCAUGCUCCUAUUUAUUACUAUUGCACCUAUUUUUGUAGGUAAUGUGAUGCAACUCUUGCGGUGUUUUCAAUAAAAUA
RNA transcript from Salvia splendens (bonfire salvia), 2185 nucleotides. It is a transcript of the gene named arabinosyltransferase RRA3, with no coding region annotated. The transcript is spliced from 3 exons. The record is from RefSeq and is a predicted model, not a curated record. NCBI's taxonomy places the organism in Eukaryota, Viridiplantae, Streptophyta, Magnoliopsida, Lamiales, Lamiaceae.